Molecule: long non-coding RNA, 614 nt
Organism: Xenopus tropicalis (tropical clawed frog)
Lineage: Eukaryota; Metazoa; Chordata; Amphibia; Anura; Pipidae
Exons: 3
Source: RefSeq, a predicted model, not a curated record
ACCCCUUAUCCGGAAUACCCUUGGUCCCAAGCAUUCUGGAUAACGGGUCCUAUUCCUGUACUUAAGUCUAACCAUUUACAUUGCUCAUCAUGUUGGGGUUGGGUUUAAUGGUGACUGAGCCUACAGCUUCAUGUAUAAAGUGCAGCAUUACAGGACCGUACCCCAUUACUGAUAUUGUUGCCAUUUUUUUGUUUCAUGCUUUUAAACCAAAUAUUUUUUUCUGUUUGUAGUUUCCUUUCGACGAAACAGACAAGCAGCUCCUGACGGCCCAAAUUAUACAUACAGAGCCGAAAAUUCCUCCAGAUCUGCUUUUAAGUGUCAAGGUCACAUUACAAGGGCUGCUGAAAAAAGAUGCCAAACUUCGCCUCGGGUCACAUAAAACAGACGCUAAAGAAGUCAUGGAAAGCUCUUUAUUCAGGGGAUUUAACUGGGACGCCCUUCUGAGCCAAGAAAUACAGGCGCCAUUCACUCCUCAAAUAAGUGUUCCAGAGCGAGUGGAGUUAGUACGCCUUCGCUUACCGGGCGCUGGUGUCCCACGACCCCACAGGACCCCAUUGGAAGAGGCAUUAGAAAAGUUGAAUUGUCCUGCUCUUCUGCCUUGAAAACCGGGUCCA